This 200-nucleotide unclassified non-coding RNA is filed under the name soil metagenome. Its description in RNAcentral is "partial contains internal transcribed spacer 2 and large subunit ribosomal RNA". The record is from RNAcentral.
AUCAACCAUCAAGCCUGGCUUGUCGUUGGGCCCUAUUGUCGUCGAGAGCCGACAGGUCCGAAAGAUAAUGACGGUGUCGUGUUUGACCCUAGAUGCAACGAGCUUCAUAGCACGCAUUGAAGUGGUCGGCCGGCCCGGUCUUAAACCCCCUAUUUUCUAAGGUUGACCUCGGAUCAGGUAGGAAUACCCGCUGAACUUAA